UUGAGCGAUUUACUUCGGUAAAGAGCGGCGGACGGGUGAGUAACGCGUGGGUAACCUACCCUGUACACACGGAUAACAUACCGAAAGGUAUGCUAAUACGGGAUAAUAUAUUUGAGAGGCAUCUCUUGAAUAUCAAAGGUGAGCCAGUACAGGAUGGACCCGCGUCUGAUUAGCUAGUUGGUAAGGUAACGGCUUACCAAGGCGACGAUCAGUAGCCGACCUGAGAGGGUGAUCGGCCACAUUGGAACUGAGACACGGUCCAAACUCCUACGGGAGGCAGCAGUGGGGAAUAUUGCACAAUGGGCGAAAGCCUGAUGCAGCAACGCCGCGUGAGUGAUGAAGGCCUUCGGGUCGUAAAACUCUGUCCUCAAGGAAGAUAAUGACGGUACUUGAGGAGGAAGCCCCGGCUAACUACGUGCCAGCAGCCGCGGUAAUACGUAGGGGGCUAGCGUUAUCCGGAUUUACUGGGCGUAAAGGGUGCGUAGGCGGUCUUUCAAGUCAGGAGUGAAAGGCUACGGCUCAACCGUAGUAAGCUCUUGAAACUGGGAGACUUGAGUGCAGGAGAGGAGAGUGGAAUUCCUAG
This 583-nucleotide ribosomal RNA is filed under the name Clostridioides difficile. RNAcentral's name for it is "bacterial SSU rRNA". It matches the Rfam family "Bacterial small subunit ribosomal RNA", at positions 62 to 673 of the family's 1533-position model. Lineage: Bacteria; Bacillati; Bacillota; Clostridia; Peptostreptococcales; Peptostreptococcaceae. The record is from RNAcentral.